GAAAUGCGAUAAGUAAUGUGAAUUGCAGAAUUCAGUGAAUCAUCGAAUCUUUGAACGCACCUUGCGCUCCUUGGUAUUCCGAGGAGCAUGCCUGUUUGAGUGUUAUGGAAUUCUCAACUCUAUUUGCUUUUGUGAAUAGAGCUUGGAUUUGGAGGUUUAUUGCUGGUACUUGUGAUCGGCUCCUCUUGAAUGCAUUAGCUCGAACCUUUGCGGAUCAGCUAUCGGUGUGAUAAUUGUCUACGCCGUUGCAGUGAAGCAUAUCAAUGGGCUCGGCUUCCAAUCGUCCUUUACUGGACAAUGACUUUGACCUUUGACCUCAAAUCAGGUAGGAUUACCCGCUGAACUUAAGC
This 350-nucleotide unclassified non-coding RNA is filed under the name plant metagenome. RNAcentral describes it as "partial contains 5.8S ribosomal RNA, internal transcribed spacer 2, and large subunit ribosomal RNA". The stretch from base 1 to 105 matches the Rfam family "5.8S ribosomal RNA", at positions 50 to 154 of the family's 154-position model. The record is from RNAcentral.